RNAcentral lists this RNase P RNA (272 nucleotides) under Mycoplasmopsis phocirhinis. Its description in RNAcentral is "Mycoplasma phocirhinis Bacterial RNase P class B". It matches the Rfam family "Bacterial RNase P class B". From Rfam's summary of the family: Ribonuclease P (RNase P) is a ubiquitous endoribonuclease, found in archaea, bacteria and eukarya as well as chloroplasts and mitochondria. Its best characterised activity is the generation of mature 5'-ends of tRNAs by cleaving the 5'-leader elements of precursor-tRNAs. Lineage: Bacteria; Bacillati; Mycoplasmatota; Mycoplasmoidales; Metamycoplasmataceae. The record is from Rfam by way of RNAcentral.
CGCAUUAGCCAACAGCUGCUAUUAUAGUAGAGGAAAGUCCACGCUGACACUUCCUGCGAUGGAAGUAGUGUUCAUGCUAAGCCUAAUAAGCUUAGGCCUAGACGACUAGUGCCACAGAGACGAGAAUUGUGAAACGCGGUAAACUCCAUGAGUCAGAAACCCAAAUUUUGGUAGGGGAAUUUUCUAAAGAGAAAUGAAUCAAUAGAAAAAACCAGUUGUACUGGUUAGAUAAAUUGUUGGCACCAUUUUCGGUACAAAACGUGGCUUACAAU